This 260-nucleotide ribosomal RNA is filed under the name uncultured bacterium. RNAcentral's name for it is "partial 16S ribosomal RNA". It matches the Rfam family "Bacterial small subunit ribosomal RNA", at positions 1243 to 1500 of the family's 1533-position model. The record is from RNAcentral.
AGGGCAGCCAAGUCGUGAGGCGGAGCUAAUCCCUUAAAGCCAUUCUCAGUUCGGAUUGUAGGCUGAAACUCGCCUACAUGAAGCUGGGGUUACUAGUAAUCGCAGAUCAGAAUGCUGCGGUGAAUGCGUUCCCGGGUCUUGUACACACCGCCCGUCACACCACGGAAGUUGGGGGCGCCCGAAGCCACUUAGCUAACCCUUUUGGGAAGCGAGUGUCGAAGGUGAAAUCAAUAACUGGGGUGAAGUCGUAACAAGGUACC